AGAAUCAACGCUGGCGGCGUGCCUAACACAUGCAAGUCGAACGAGAAAGUGGAGCAAUCCAUGAGUACAGUGGCGACCGGGUGAGUAACACGUGACUACCUACCCUUGAGUGGGGGAUAACCUCGGGAAACCGAGGCUAAUACCGCAUAAUAUCGAGAGAUCAAAGGAGUAAUCCGCUUUUGGAGGGGGUCGCGGCUGAUUAGCUAGUUGGUAGGGUAAUGGCCUACAAAGGCGAAGAUCGGUAUCCGGCCUGAGAGGGCGCACGGACACACUGGAACUGAAACACGGUCCAGACUCCUACGGGAGGCAGCAGUGGGGAAUUUUGCGCAAUGGGGGAAACCCUGACGCAGCAACGCCGCGUGGAGGAUGAAGCCCCUUGGGGUGUAAACUCCUUUCGACCGGGAAAAUAAUGAUGGUACCGGUGGAAGAAGCACCGGCUAACUCUGUGCCAGCAGCCGC
Molecule: ribosomal RNA, 459 nt
Filed under: uncultured bacterium
Lineage: Bacteria
Description: SSU rRNA
Rfam family: Bacterial small subunit ribosomal RNA
Source: RNAcentral